This is a long non-coding RNA of Mustela erminea (ermine), 1148 nucleotides long. RefSeq lists it as uncharacterized. The record is from RefSeq and is a predicted model, not a curated record. The transcript has 6 exons. NCBI's taxonomy places the organism in Eukaryota, Metazoa, Chordata, Mammalia, Carnivora, Mustelidae.
GCCCGCGGGCUGCCCAGCGCAAGCGCAUUUUCUUGAAGGACCAAGUUGGGAUCCGCUGUUUAUCCGAGCCCCGGCACUGCUUCCUGUGUUGUUCUUCCUCUUGAGGAAAGAGGGGGGUGCUAAAGAUCUCCCCGCACACCCUUGCGCUCGCCGGCCACCGCAGCAGGUGUCCCCAGGGUUGCUGAUGGCUCCCUUGCACUCGCCCUUCCUGAAGAGCAGUUUGGCAGCCAAGGCACCUGGAGUUAUCGGAAUGUCCUGGAUGGCUGGCCAGGCGGCUUUCCCCCGCGAAGAAAGUAUUUGUAUGCUGUCCAUUUGGAGCUGUCCACAGGGCCCCUGGUUCCCUCUAUGACCCACCUUGACCAUUUUAUCAAGAUUGUGUGAUUGGCAGAUGUAAGACAUACCCAGAGGGCAGAAAGUUAAAAACCACCAGGUCUUCAGAAGGACCUACCCGAAGAACCUUGAAUUCACAGAAGCCACCGGGAACAGCAAGAGGAGUCUGCUUUUGUGUUCCUGCAGCCUUUCUAGUCUCUUCCUUCAGGAUCGUUGAGCCAGUGCCCUGGGGUGUCGUAUUGCCUUCCCAACGAAUCUCAUAAGAUUGCUCUAAAAAUCCAGUGGAAUGAUGAUUAUGCAAGUCCUGGGUGAGCGGAACCUACUCUGCACACGUGAGGCCCUGGCCUGGGGGCUCCAAGAUGUCCUCUGCAUUUAUAUUACAGCAGCAUACUAUAGGAAACCGGGACUGUCAUUCGGAAACGACGUCACCAUCCACAACCUCCCUCUGUGUUUUCCCCCUUCUGGCUGGAAGAGCAUCCAUCAUCCCUACUCCUUUAUGCUUAUAUAACGUCUCCACACUUCGCUCAGUUUCGAUGGAAGAUGCGAGAAUAUUUGCUCCAGUUUUUUUCUUAAAGAACUCUGUACUGUCUGUAUGCAUGGAUGGCUUUUCAAAACAGUUCCUUAGAGGUAUAACUUACUCAUCUACUGCAGACUAUAUGCACGAUGAAACACUCCUUUCGCAAUGUGAUAGGGUAGUUUUUCCCAGAUUCCAUUCACUUAGACAUGUUCAAGCCAAGGGAUCCAGGGCACUUAUGGUUUUCUAAUUCUUCUCCCCCUCCCCCCUCUCCUUCCUCCACCUCCUCUUCCUCCUCCUUCUU